CUAGGUGGGUGGUUGAUUACCCCGGUGGCCCGUUGAGCAGGCGCGACGGGUCGGCGAUGCGCCGGUCGCCACCCGUCGUCCUCGUUCGUCGCGGGCUGGUACGGUGGCCGUGCCAUUCUGCGGCCGCCACCUUCCUCCGUGGUUCGCUCCACUCUCAUCUUUUCCUCACUCUCGCAGCGCGACCUGACUCCCGAAAUCUCGUCCCAUCAUUUUCUCUCUGAUUUUAACCCCCUUCCCCAUCUGAAGUUCUUUCUUUUAUGCGCGAAAUUCCUGGUUGCUACGGCGCGCAGUGAUGGCGUUAGCACUGACAUCUUCAGUCACGUGAGGAACAAUUUUGAACAUGUGUUCCGGAUUUAGUACUAUUUGAACUUUUCCCCUUAUGCUAGCUACAAACCAGAGGUCGUUGGACUCCCCAUUACACUGAGUCGCUCAACUAUAGCAGAAUUACAUAGUUCCCUUCACUUGCGCAGGGAAAUUAAACUAAAUCCAAGCUACACGCGCCGUAUAUAUUAGGGCCUUAUGGACUGCCUGUGAUUCCGUAGGCUGAGCAAAGGGCAUCUGUGAAACCUGCCAGCUUACUGGAUCAGUGCGGAGGGAGCUUCCCUUCAAGGAAUGAUGAGAAUAGUGCCAAUGCCCUGCGAGGCUGGUAGUAUGGGACCAUGUGCCCGGCUCCUUUGACUGUUGCGAAGACCAAUCCUUUAUACCCAACAACGUAGCCAGCAACCUGCCGUGUAGCGAAGGAUUAGGAGAAGGAUGUUAUUUUUUCGCAGCUAUGCUUGAUGAAACAAUGCAUUUAUGAUGUUUCGGCAUGUACACUCUUUUUGGGCAACUGUUCUUCAACUAUAACUGUUUUAUGUUCAAACGUAUUUCCGUUUUGAUGUUUUGUUAAGAGUUUAGGAACUUGGUUAUCGAAUUGCGUUGGGGACUAGUGAUCAUUGCAAGUUCUGACAAGCAACAUGACGGAUCCUUUUGUUUUUGAUUUUUGCAGGAAGCACAUAUACAGUUUGAUCCAAAGGAAUCCUGCGACAUGAAUGCUGGUAUUCAAUCAUAAUCAUCUGAUGAACAUUGGGCUACGUACCUCAUUAUCGAGGCGCCAUGGACGCCAAGAUGUUUCAAUAGGAAGCUCAAGAAUGUCCAGCACAUAUUGUGUGGAAAUGAAUGAACACACUGCAUCCAUAUCACCACUGGUACACAGAGGUAGAGUCUAAAUCACAGUUUUAUGAUGUAACAUAUUAGGCUAUGUAUUUUGUCACACAUGAAGCUGAACAUGUGUACCUGUAUAGCCAUAUUCUAAUGCCACUUGAAAUGACUUUCUUGAUUGAUGGCAGCAUUGUCUCUGGUGAAUCUUUCCAAUUAUCAAAUACAUGCUGGCUGCUUGAAUAAACAUAUAAAUUAAUCAUAAGCAUGUCGUACUGUUAACUUCUCCUUGAUGCCCAAUUGCUAAUCUAGCAAGAGGUUUCUUGAAACUGAACAAAAAUCUCAAGAUAUACCUGAAUGAGUAUGCACUGGGGCAUAUGCACACCAUUUACACGAUUGAUGAUGAAUUGAAAUACAUGCAUUUCGGUGCAUACUCAAUGGUGUCGGUAUGCAGUGCAUGUGGCCCUAGACCCACCUUUGCUUUUCCCAAGACUAAAUGGGUUAAAUAUCUUUAUGAUUUCAAAUAGCUGAUUGUUGAACUGGCUGAACAUAGGCUUCAGAAUCAUCUGGCAUUAUUCCCCUUUUAAUUUAGAUUUAUCAAGACCUUUUUGCAUAUAAAAGUUUAUGCUAAAGGAAUAAUUUUUGUCAACAGUGGUUCACAUACUCUUUGAUGGUUGGCUCGUAGAGGCUGUUGUUACCUUUUAACAUUAAUGCUAUUAAGAAGUGAGUGAUGAAAGAUAUAUAAUUAUUCUGUUCCUUUGGGUUAUAUAAGUAUUGUUUGUACAUAAAGGAUAUACCUUUCCAGAUUGCUUUAGCAAAGCCAAUAACAGAUUGCUAAUAGGGUCACACAAGGGUUAUGGUCUGAGAACGCUCAUAAAUUGGAGGCAAAUAUGGUAAACAUAUUCAGACAUUCAAUCCACAUACCUGCAAUCCAUCCAUGGGUAGUCUAACCCUGUUGUGUUUGCAUGGAGUGCCUUUUGGACCUCAGGACGAUUUAGGUAAGAGGAGACAUAGUGGUUUGUGCAUGGAUCACCAAACACUAACUGAAACUAAACCAAAGUUUCAGAUCCCAAAGAUCAUAUAGAAAGGGAAUAAAAAAAGCAUAUGUGAAACUUAUGUUUGGUGCUGCAUACCGAGUCACUUGAUUUUGAAGAAUUUGAGGCAUCAUGGCAUGUUGGUGCAUAAAUGUCAUAGUCAUCAACAUUUCCUUUUUCCUGGGUAGCUAAUUUCAUGGCAUUUUGGCAAUCUUUAGUGUAUGUCCCAUUAAAGCCACAUUUAUCCUUGAUGGCUCUAUAAGCUUUUCUAGAAAUCAUAGCAUGCAUCCAAUAGUAGUCAAAUGAUGCUUGUAGAGUCAAAUUGUCAUCCAAGUCUGCAUUUCCAAUCUGAUCAAGUUUUACAGUGUUACCAUUGGUUAGAAAUUUACCGAUCUUAUAAGCUACAGAAGCAGUUAUAGAGGAAAACUUACCGCAACACCUUUAAGCUUGAUAUUAGUUGCAUUGUUGGCUCUAUUCUUAGAAACAAUCAGAUUAGCAAGCUCUGGUAUAUAGUGACCUGCAUAGCUCUCACCAGUUAUGAAGAAAUCACGAUCCUGAUACUCAGGAAAUUUCUCUAACCAAUUUUCAAGAAAGGUAUAAGCAUCAUCCGUUGUUCUUUGGUCGCCAAUGUUAUAAUAAUCUGAGGUAGUGUUUGAAUAUGAGUACCCAACACCAGCUGGGAUCUCAACAAACAGCAUAUUGGCCACUGCAUUUAUGGACACAUGGGUGUUAAUCCAACUAACUUAUUUAACUAUUAAUCUAGUGAAGGUUUAAAGUGAUUUACCUCUGUUCCAUGCAUGUCUUUUCCUAUACAGUGUCUUGUUGUCACUACGGACGGAGAAAGGACCAAGUUCAAGCAUGGCUCCAGAUCCAAAGGAUGAACAGCCGGGCCCUG
Molecule: long non-coding RNA, 3066 nt
Filed under: Panicum hallii
Lineage: Eukaryota; Viridiplantae; Streptophyta; Magnoliopsida; Poales; Poaceae
Description: long non-coding RNA (PHAL_LNC000931)
Source: RNAcentral